RNAcentral lists this ribosomal RNA (483 nucleotides) under uncultured bacterium. RNAcentral's name for it is "partial 16S ribosomal RNA". It matches the Rfam family "Bacterial small subunit ribosomal RNA", at positions 30 to 507 of the family's 1533-position model. The record is from RNAcentral.
AUUGAACGCUGGCGGCAGGCCUAACACAUGCAAGUCGAGCGGAUGAAGGGAGCUUGCUCCUGGAUUCAGCGGCGGACGGGUGAGUAAUGCCUAGGAAUCUGCCUGGUAGUGGGGGAUAACGUCCGGAAACGGGCGCUAAUACCGCAUACGUCCUGGGGGAGAAAGUGGGGGAUCUUCGGACCUCACGCUAUCAGAUGAGCCUAGGUCGGAUUAGCUAGUUGGUGGGGUAAAGGCCUACCAAGGGGACGAUCCGUAACUGGUCUGAGAGGAUGAUCAGUCAACGUGAACUGAGAAACGGUCCCGACUUCUAACGGAAGCCGCCGGUGGGAAUUAUGGACAAUGGGGGAAAGGCUUAUCCAGGCCAGCCGGGUGUGGUGAAAAGGUCUUCCGAAUGGUAAGCAACUUAAGUUGGGAGGAAGGGCAGUUAGUUAAUACCGUGGUGGUUUGACGUUACCAACAGAAUAAGCACCGGCUAACUUCGUG